This 252-nucleotide ribosomal RNA is filed under the name uncultured bacterium. Its description in RNAcentral is "partial 16S ribosomal RNA". It matches the Rfam family "Bacterial small subunit ribosomal RNA", at positions 524 to 776 of the family's 1533-position model. The record is from RNAcentral.
UACGGAGGAUGCGAGCGUUAUCCGGAUUUAUUGGGUUUAAAGGGUGCGUAGGCGGGAUGCCAAGUCAACGGUAAAAAUGCGGUGCUCAACGCCGUCGAGCCGUUGAAACUGGCGUUCUUGAGUGGGCGAGAAGUAUGCGGAAUGCGUGGUGUAGCGGUGAAAUGCAUAGAUAUCACGCAGAACUCCGAUUGCGAAGGCAGCAUACCGGCGCCCUACUGACGCUGAGGCACGAAAGCGUGGGUAUCGAACAGG